CCAGACUCCUACGGGAGGCAGCAGUGAGGAAUAUUGGUCAAUGGCCGCAGGGCUGAACCAGCCAAGUCGCGUGAGGGAUGACGGUCCUAUGGAUUGUAAACCUCUUUUGUCAGGGAGCAAAGGGCGCCACGUGUGGCGUUUUGCGAGUACCUGAAGAAAAAGCAUCGGCUAACUCCGUGCCAGCAGCCGCGGUAAUACGGAGGAUGCGAGCGUUAUCCGGAUUUAUUGGGUUUAAAGGGUGCGCAGGCGGAAUGUCAAGUCAGCGGUAAAAUUUCGGGGCUCAACCCCGUCGUGCCGUUGGAACUGGGGAUCUAGAGGGUGCGAGAGGUAUGCGGAAUGCGUGGGGGAGCGGGGAAAUGCAUAGAUAUCACGCAGAACCCCGAUUGCGAAGGCAGCAUACCGGCGCUCAACUGACGCUGAAGCACGAAGGCGGGGGUAUCGAACAGGAUUAGAUACCCCAGUAC
Molecule: ribosomal RNA, 464 nt
Filed under: uncultured bacterium
Lineage: Bacteria
Description: bacterial SSU rRNA
Rfam family: Bacterial small subunit ribosomal RNA
Source: RNAcentral